RNAcentral lists this transfer RNA (72 nucleotides) under Dipodomys ordii (Ord's kangaroo rat). It matches the Rfam family "tRNA". Rfam says of the family: Transfer RNA (tRNA) molecules are approximately 80 nucleotides in length. Their secondary structure includes four short double-helical elements and three loops (D, anti-codon, and T loops). Lineage: Eukaryota; Metazoa; Chordata; Mammalia; Rodentia; Heteromyidae. The record is from Rfam by way of RNAcentral.
GGGAAGGUGGCUCACUGGUGGAGUGCUUGCCUUGCAUGCAUGAGACCCUGGGUUCGAUUCCUCGGCACCCCA